Molecule: ribosomal RNA, 606 nt
Filed under: Triticum aestivum (bread wheat)
Lineage: Eukaryota; Viridiplantae; Streptophyta; Magnoliopsida; Poales; Poaceae
Description: partial small subunit ribosomal RNA
Source: RNAcentral
UUGUGUGUGCCAAAGAAAGAAAGUGGAAUGAGAUUUCGAGAUAUUCAUUGUUUUAACCUAGCCCUGCUUGCGAAAUAGGCUUGGAUAUUAGUUGAUAAUCGGGAUUCCCUUUGUGCCUGUGUUCUCAAAGCCAAGUAUUAUCUAGAUUGUGGUAUUUAAAAUGCAACUCUGAAAAAGAGAGCCUCAUUCACAUGGCAAAGUAUUAUGUCGGGGGUGCAGACACUAAAAAAAGGUCAUAUAUGGAGGGUCGGUGAUGGUAGUCGAAUUAAUUUUUGGGAUGAUGAAUGGAUCCCUAACUCACCUACCAAGAAAGUGAUCACGACUCGUGGAGGCAAUUUACUAUCAAAGGUAAGUGAUUUCAUUGACCCUGUUACGGGUCGUUGUGAUGAAGAGUUGGUUUCUCAAACAUUCUGGCAAGUUGACGUGGCGCGGAUCCUUGCGAUUUCGUUGCCUGAAUUUGAUAUGUCGGACUUCGUAGCAUGGAACUUGUGCAAAAACGAGAGAUUUCUAGUGAGAUCGGCAUACUUUACGGAGUGGCACAGCCAAUAUGGAUAUAAAAUAUCAGGAGAAAAUACAGUCGGGCCCUUACGGAAUUCACCAAUAUGA